This is a long non-coding RNA of Paramisgurnus dabryanus, 370 nucleotides long. RefSeq lists it as uncharacterized. NCBI's taxonomy places the organism in Eukaryota, Metazoa, Chordata, Actinopteri, Cypriniformes, Cobitidae. The record is from RefSeq and is a predicted model, not a curated record.
AUCGAUCUCUCGAUCUCUGAAUCAUGAUGGCAAAAAUUCUUCUGCUGAUGCUCUUUGCAGUCGCCAUAGAAAGUGCCUUCUCUUCUCGUGGGCCUGGUAUAAAACCUGACUGCACAAUCUUUUCCCCAAAUUUUUGCACGAGGGAAUAUGAGCCUGUGUGUGGCGCUGAUCAAGUCACAUAUAGCAAUGUGUGCUCACUGUGUGGCAAAAUAAGGGAAACAGGAGAUGACAUAAGAAUCAUCAAAAUUGGUGCAUGCAAUACCAGACCAAGAGGCCAACAUUCAAAAUCUAUAAUAAAUGAAUGAUCAUUGAAUGUUUGUUCUGGACUUUUUUCAAAGUCUACAAUAAAGCAUAAAUAAAGCAUAUGAAA